CCAUCUAAAAACACUUCAAAUAUGUUAAUGAAGCAAUGAAAUAUUCUCUUAAAAAUUAUUUGUGGAUGGAAUUAAUAAAAUGCUUCCAACCAAAGCACUAUUUGAAAGGGAAGACUGCUUUAAAGUAUACUAACAACUCAAUUAUGAAAUGACUUAAGUACUUCUUUUACUAGAAAACCUUACAUGGUAAGAUUACUCAUGCAACUCGUGAGAAUUUAACUUCCCUAUCAUAUUCACAACUUUAUACUUUCUGCUUAUUUUACCUGAUUGCAUUCGAAGGCACAAAUUGCAUUCUGGAAAUUUAACAUCCUCCAUCUGUCCCCCCCUCCGCCUGUCCCCCCAAAUUAUUUUGCUUUUGGUCAGUCUCUAAGGCGGGCCUCUUAGAAUUUGUUUAACACACAAUAUUUAAAAGAUUUGGAUUCAUGAAAGGCAAGGUAAUACCUAAAACAAGUCGUGUGUUGGGGACUGGGUUCCUUUGCAGUCCCAGAGCAUGGGAGACAUACAAUGAACUUCCUUUGUAGAAACCCAGGAAGGGCUGGUGGGAGGGACAGAUGCAGUGGUUCGCCAGUAAGUUCCCUUAACACCAGAAUACAAGGGGCUAGUUGCUCAGACCUACUUCUUCUUCGAGAGGCAAAAGAAGAGUUUUUUUUCUGGCUAUUCUUUUAAAGGCUACACAGUCUUUGGCAACCUGGGAAUUGCCCACAUACAAUGAGGGAAUCCAGUGAGUUUAAAGAUUGUGUCAGUCACUCAAAAUUCAGUAUUGUGGAAUCCCCUUAUGUGGCCAGCCUCCAACACAAAGAUCCUCACCUCCUGGUGUUCAAGCCCUUGGGAAGACCCCUCCAGCACUAAAUAGGGCUGAUCUGUGUCAAUGUCUCCAAACUGGGGGUGGUUUCAGGUCCACUCCAUGUUUCUCUCCUGCUCCUUGGGCCAGCUGACUACCUCAAGCACGUUCUCCUCAUUGUGAAGGGCAGAAGUGAGACAGAAGCAAGCAGAAAAACACAAUUAUUUCCUGAGGCCAAGCUGAGAACUGUCACAUCGCCACUUCUGCUCAACUUCCUUUGACCAAAGAAAGUCUCAGGAUGAUGCAAACCCAACAUUAUGGGGUGGGGAAACAUUCAUUCUGCCUCUGAGGAGAGGAACUGUAAAGCAACAUUUCAGAGGACAUGCAUGCAUGGAGAAAUGAAGAAACGGGAACAAUUAUGUUAUCUACCACUGCUAUCUAUUUGGGAAUUUCCAGCUAACUUCCAAUUGGUGGUGGAAGAGAUAUUUCUUCUCAAAGUGGCUGACAACAGAAAUGAUUUGACCCUGUAGGUGAAGCCUGUAUCUAACCAUAGGAAUGGGGCUUUGUUCCUGCAUGUCCCUUAACUGAAUCAUAUCUUCUGCAAUGUUAUGGAGAUGGGGUAGCAUUAUUAAUCAAUUAACCCCUUACAAACAUGAAAGCAAACAAUGGUUUCUGUGAUAGGUUGUUUUAUAAGAAAUGAAAAACCCCAAAACUCAACACAUUGCCAUCAAUACCGACUCACAGCGACCCUACAGGACAGAGUAGAACUGCUCCAUAGUAUUUCCAAGGAGUGCCUGGUUGAUUCAAACUGCCGACCUUUUGGUUAGCAUCCGUAGCUCAUAACCGCUAUGCCACCAGAGUUUCCUUACAAGAAAUGGAGGAUAAAAAUACUGCCCUAGAAAGAGUGUUAUGUUUAUAGAUAGUAUCUUGUUUACUGUCUAUUAAAAGUUUGAAUGUUAUCCAGGCUUUACAUGUUCUUUAGUUCAAAAAGGUACCAAUAAUCACCGUGUUUAAAGCACAGGAAUCCACAAAACCUUGUACACGUUAAAAGGAUCUUUCGAGUAAUCCUUUUUUGUUAUCCAGUUUCUCCUAUAUUUAAGAGAAAAGAAUCCCUUAAAUAAGGAGCCUCCAGAGUUGCUUUUUUAAGAUAGGAAAGGAAAAAUCAUCCCCAGUAAACUGAGAGGCAGUAACAGCUUUAAAAUAGAGAUCACUAAAUUCUUAGAAUCUUCAGGGACUUAAAUCAGUGAAGACUCCCGUGGUUCCCUGAACAUCUGAGCCCUGCUCCUAGGGUUAUUUGUAUGGUUCCCACGUUCAGUUCCAGAACUGCUCCACUUAUAUUCCUCACCGUUUCUUCUUCGCUUAGGAUUGGUUGUGGUGCAGCAAAAAGAUUAAGGCUGGGGCCCAGAAAUGAACCUGAUAAAUCCUGUGCCAGGUGCCAAGUACAUCAGAGUGGGGAGUGCCAGGCACCGGGGUAGAAUCAGCCGCUGCGCGCACUGGGACAGU
Molecule: long non-coding RNA, 2284 nt
Organism: Loxodonta africana (African savanna elephant)
Lineage: Eukaryota; Metazoa; Chordata; Mammalia; Proboscidea; Elephantidae
Exons: 2
Source: RefSeq, a predicted model, not a curated record